AUUGAACGCUGGCGGCAUGCCUUACACAUGCAAGUCGAACGGUAACAGGUCUUCGGAUGCCGACGAGUGGCGAACGGGUGAGUAAUACAUCGGAACGUGCCUAGUAGUGGGGGAUAACUACUCGAAAGAGUGGCUAAUACCGCAUGAGAUCUACGGAUGAAAGCAGGGGACCGCAAGACCUUGUGCUACUAGAGCGGCCGAUGGCAGAUUAGGUAGUUGGUGGGAUAAAAGCUUACCAAGCCGACGAUCUGUAGCUGGUCUGAGAGGACGAUCCGCCAGACUGGGACUGAGACACGGCCCAGACUCCUACGGGAGGCAGCAGUGGGGAAUUUUGGACAAUGGGCGCAAGCCUGAUCCAGCAAUGCCGCGUGCAGGAUGAAGGCCUUCGGGUUGUAAACUGCUUUUGUACGGAACGAAAAGCCCUGGGUUAAUACCCUGGGGUCAUGACAGUACCGUAAGAAUAAGCACCGGCUAACUACGUGCCAGCCGCCGCCGUAA
RNAcentral lists this ribosomal RNA (498 nucleotides) under uncultured bacterium. Its description in RNAcentral is "partial 16S ribosomal RNA". It matches the Rfam family "Bacterial small subunit ribosomal RNA", at positions 30 to 523 of the family's 1533-position model. The record is from RNAcentral.